RNAcentral lists this RNase P RNA (362 nucleotides) under Candidatus Hydrogenedentota bacterium. Its description in RNAcentral is "RNase P RNA component class A". It matches the Rfam family "Bacterial RNase P class A". From Rfam's summary of the family: Ribonuclease P (RNase P) is a ubiquitous endoribonuclease, found in archaea, bacteria and eukarya as well as chloroplasts and mitochondria. Its best characterised activity is the generation of mature 5'-ends of tRNAs by cleaving the 5'-leader elements of precursor-tRNAs. The record is from RNAcentral. Lineage: Bacteria; Pseudomonadati; Candidatus Hydrogenedentota.
CAAGCGGGCCGAACGGUCGCGGUGCGGCUUCGGGCCGCAUCGAGGAAAGUCCGGGCUCCACAGGGCAGGACGCUUCGUAACGCGAAGGCGGAGCAAUCCGACGGAAAGUGGCACAGAAAAUACACAGCCCGUUUCGUCGGGCAAUGGUGAAAAGGUGCGGUAAGAGCGCACCAGCGUCGUGGCGACACGGCGGCUCGCUAAACCCCGUCCGGAGCAAGUCCAAAUAGGGAACCCAUGGCGCGGCCCGCGUCGGUUCCGGGUAGGACGCUUGAGGCAUGCGGCGACGCAUGUUCCAGAUGAAUGACCGUUCACGGGCGCGCAAGCGCCCCGGACAGAACCCGGCUUACAGGCCCGCUUGCACU